This is a non-coding RNA of Danio rerio (zebrafish), 794 nucleotides long. NCBI's taxonomy places the organism in Eukaryota, Metazoa, Chordata, Actinopteri, Cypriniformes, Danionidae. The record is from RefSeq and is a predicted model, not a curated record.
CGACACUCCCCCCUAAACAGAGCUGGACACGCCCACUUUUCUGACUUUUUCCAAAGUAGAGGUGUGAAAACACCCUGCUGAAACGAGGGGGUUUCAUGGCCCUUUAAGGUGCAACCAGGUAUGCAAUGAAAGCCAGUGUGAAAGGCAUGAAAACAGAUGCGGAGAUUCAUGUGGAGAAUGCGGGCAUCGAUCCCGCUACCUCUCGCAUGCUAAGCGAGUGCUCUACCAUUUGAGCUAAUUCCCCUCGCUGGAAAAAAAUUUGGCUAUUUUUGACGUAAUCAAAAAAGAAAAAAAAGACCACAUCUGCUCUGCGGUGGCCCCUUUGCCCUGCUUGAUAUGUAUUCGUCAAAUUGCUUGGAAUAGCAUGCUUUUUUCAAAAGGUCCUACCCGGUCCUGCUCCAGGGAACGUGUGAGGAGUCCUGCAUGCCGAAUGACGAGUUAUCCCUAAAUCACUCCACAUUGGCAGUGCCCUGGAUUUCUAUGUUAGUGUGCAGAAAGUGGCCGGUUAGCUCAGCUGGUUAGAGCGUGGUGCUAAUAACGCCAAGGUCGCGGGUUCGAUACCCGUACUGGCCAAACUUUUACCCUCCUGUGCCUCAGACGCAUUCAAGAGCUCUGCUAGGUCUCACCGACAUCCAUGCUGCAGAGCAGUUGAGACAAGACAGCCGAAAUAGCUCAGUUGGGAGAGCGUUAGACUGAAGAUCUAAAGGUCCCUGGUUCAAUCCCGGGUUUCGGCAAAGCAGCGUUGACGUUCAGUUUUUGGCAUGAGGGUCAGGGAACCGAAAGUCACUCAAAAA